RNAcentral lists this ribosomal RNA (253 nucleotides) under uncultured bacterium. RNAcentral's name for it is "partial 16S ribosomal RNA". It matches the Rfam family "Bacterial small subunit ribosomal RNA", at positions 524 to 776 of the family's 1533-position model. The record is from RNAcentral.
UACGGGGGGGGCAAGCGUUGCUCGGAAUUACUGGGCGUAAAGGGCGCGUAGGCGGAUAGUUUAGUCAGAGGUGAAAGCCCAGGGCUCAACCUUGGAAUUGCCUUUGAUACUGGCUAUCUUGAGUUCGGGAGAGGUGAGUGGAAUGCCGAGUGUAGAGGUGAAAUUCGUAGAUAUUCGGCGGAACACCAGUGGCGAAGGCGACUCACUGGCCCGAUACUGACGCUGAGGCGCGAAAGCGUGGGGAGCAAACAGG